UACGUAGGGGGCGAGCGUUAUCCGGAAUUACUGGGUGUGAAGGGAGCGUAGACGGCGAAGUAAGCCUGAAGUGGAAGCCCGCGGCCCAACCGCGGAACUGCUUUGGGAACUGCUUAGCUGGAGUAUGGGAGGGGUAAGCGGAAUUCCUGGUGUAGCGGUGAAAUGCGUAGAUAUCAGGAGGAACACCGGUGGCGAAGGCGGCUUACUGGACCAUGACUGACGUUGAGGCUCGAAAGCGUGGGGAGCGAACAGG
Molecule: ribosomal RNA, 253 nt
Filed under: uncultured bacterium
Lineage: Bacteria
Description: partial 16S ribosomal RNA
Rfam family: Bacterial small subunit ribosomal RNA
Source: RNAcentral